UACGUAUGGUGCAAGCGUUAUCCGGAUUUACUGGGUGUAAAGGGAGCGCAGGCGGCGCGUUAAGCCUGGUGUGAAAGCCCGCGGCCCAACCGCGGGACUGCAUUGGGAACUGGCGCGCUGGAGUGCCGGAGGGGUAGGCGGAAUUCCUAGUGUAGCGGUGAAAUGCGUUGAUAUUAGGAGGAACACCAGUGGCGAAGGCGGCCUACUGGACGGUGACUGACGCUGAGGCUCGAAAGCGUGGGGAGCAAACAGG
Molecule: ribosomal RNA, 253 nt
Filed under: uncultured bacterium
Lineage: Bacteria
Description: partial 16S ribosomal RNA
Rfam family: Bacterial small subunit ribosomal RNA
Source: RNAcentral